Molecule: long non-coding RNA, 445 nt
Organism: Pecten maximus
Lineage: Eukaryota; Metazoa; Mollusca; Bivalvia; Pectinida; Pectinidae
Exons: 4
Source: RefSeq, a predicted model, not a curated record
GUUAUACCGUAUAAAAGUUAAACACAUCGUCUGACUCGCAUUCGCUAAUUGUGUCGACGACAGUCAUGAGGCCGCUAAUAGUGAUAGCUUUGCUCGUCCCGAUGUGUGCAGGUUUCCUUGUAUCUGAACAUUGUGACACGAUUUCCGACUGUAGAACAACUAACUGCUUCGGUUCGCAAUUAAGUUGUACCCAUAGCGACUGUAUAUGUAUCAGCGAUUCAACAAGCACAGGCUAUCUUUGCGUUGACCGAAUGGAUUGUUUCAGCAGCUGUACAUUUGGCAUCGACAGCACGCAUUGCGUCAAUGGACAUUGUCAUUGUACUCGUUAAGGCUGAGGGCAAGAAACUCGUAUGGAUGAUGAUAGAGCGAACGAAGAUAACUUCCUAUCGUUAAAAAUCUGAUAAAUUGUAAUAUUUCAAUAAUAAAAAUCCGACUGUCAUUAAUA